RNAcentral lists this transfer RNA (86 nucleotides) under bacterium. RNAcentral describes it as "tRNA-Tyr". It matches the Rfam family "tRNA". Rfam says of the family: Transfer RNA (tRNA) molecules are approximately 80 nucleotides in length. RNAcentral also lists the same sequence under 1 other name. The record is from RNAcentral.
GGGCAGGUACCGAAGUGGUCAACCGGGGCAGACUGUAAAUCUGCUGGCUUACGCCUUCGGGGGUUCGAAUCCCUCCCUGCCCACCA